AUUGAACGCUGGCGGAAUGCUUUACACAUGCAAGUCGAACGGCAGCACGGACUUCGGUCUGGUGGCGAGUGGCGAACGGGUGAGUAAUGUAUCGGAACGUGCCCAGUCGUGGGGGAUAACGUAGUGAAAAUUACGCUAAUACCGCAUACGAUCUAUGGAUGAAAGCGGGGGAUCGCAAGACCUCGCGCGAUUGGAGCGGCGGAUAUCAGAUUAGGUCGUUGGUGGGGUAAAGGCCCACCAAGCCAACGAUCUGUAGCUGGUCUGAGAGGACGUCCAGCCACACUGGAACUGAGCCACGGUCCAGACUCCUACGGGAGGCAGCAGUGGGGAAUUUUGGACAAUGGGCGAAAGCCUGAUCCAGCCACUCCGCGUGCAGGAUGAAGGCCCUCGGGUUGUAAACUGCUUUUGUACAGAACGAAAAGGUUUCUACUAAUACUAGGAGCUCAUGACGGUACUGUAAGAAUAAGCACCGGCUAACUACGUGCCAGCCGCCGCCGUAA
This 500-nucleotide ribosomal RNA is filed under the name uncultured bacterium. RNAcentral's name for it is "partial 16S ribosomal RNA". It matches the Rfam family "Bacterial small subunit ribosomal RNA", at positions 30 to 523 of the family's 1533-position model. The record is from RNAcentral.